Molecule: small RNA, 144 nt
Filed under: Arabidopsis thaliana (thale cress)
Lineage: Eukaryota; Viridiplantae; Streptophyta; Magnoliopsida; Brassicales; Brassicaceae
Description: ATSL220910
Source: RNAcentral
AAAUGUAUCGUCAUAUAAAUUACAAGAAUCAUAUAUAUAAAAGUUGGUCAACUCUCUUCAUAUGAUUGACACAUCAUCACUUUAACAUUUGUCAUGUGUCUAUUAAAUAAUUAAUGUAAGUUUUUCAACUUCUAAUAUAUAGGU